AAGUCGUAACAAGGUUUCCGUAGGUGAACCUGCGGAAGGAUCAUUAACGUAUCUCUGACGGCGAGGGUCUGCCCAGCUCCGUACCGAAAGGGCGUGCAGCGGGUGGGCCCGAGUCGCUCAACCUUUGCAAACCCACCGUGCACUUUUGCCGGCGGAGGGUCCCCGUGGCCCCGAGCCGGAUCACAAACUCCAAGUUUGAUUUGAAUGUGAAGCGGACAUGUGCCGCCUAAACUUUAACAACUUUCAACAACGGAUCUCUUGGCUCUCGCAUCGAUGAAGAACGCAGCGAAAUGCGAUAAGUAAUGUGAAUUGCAGAAUUCAGUGAAUCAUCGAAUCUUUGAACGCACCUUGCGCUCCUUGGUAUUCCGAGGAGCAUGCCUGUUUGAGUGUCUUGAAGUCAUCAACCCCUCCCGUUUUUGUGCGGGAGGAAGGUUGGAGAUGGGGGCCUGCGGUCGUGAGGCCGCUCCCCUCAAAUGCUUCGGUUGGGCCCGCGGGUCGAACUCGGUUGGGCGUUGUACCAUCCUCGCUCUUUGUCCGAGAAGUUCCCCUUUGAUUGAGCCCUCCCACGACUGCCUUUCCAGAGGUGGUCAAUCUAAUUUUGAAAUCUGACCUCAAAUCAGGUAGGACUUACCCGCUGAACUUAAGCAUAUCAAUAAGCGGAGGAAAAGAAACUAACAAGGAUUCCCCUAGUAACUGCGAGUGAAGCGGGAAAAGCUCAAAUUUGAAAUCUGGCAGCUCCGCUGUCCGAGUUGUAUUCUGGAGAAGCGUCUUCCGUGCCGGACCGUGUACAAGUCCCUUGGAACAGGGCGUCAUAGAGGGUGAGAAUCCCGUCUUUGACACGGACCCCCGGUGCUAUGUGAUGCGCUCUCGAAGAGUCGAGUUGUUUGGGAAUGCAGCUCAAAAUGGGUGGUAAAUUCCAUCUAAAGCUAAAUAUUGGCGAGAGACCGAUAGCGAACAAGUACCGUGAGGGAAAGAUGAAAAGCACUUUGGAAAGAGAGUAAAACAGUACGUGAAAUUGUUGAAAGGGAAACGCUUGAAGUCAGUCGCGUCUGCCGGAACUCAGCCUUGCUUCUGCUUGGUGCACUUUCCGGUCUGACGGGCCAGCAUCGGUUUCGAGCGGUGGACACUGGCGUGGGGAAGGUGGCAGCUCCGGCUGUGUUAUAGCCCUGUGUCGCAAACGCCGCCCGGGACCGAGGAAUCCGGCGCAAGCCUGGGAUGCUGGCGUAAUGGCUUUAAACGACC
RNAcentral lists this ribosomal RNA (1242 nucleotides) under uncultured Trechispora. RNAcentral describes it as "eukaryotic LSU rRNA". The stretch from base 607 to 1242 matches the Rfam family "Eukaryotic large subunit ribosomal RNA", at positions 1 to 649 of the family's 3401-position model. The record is from RNAcentral. Lineage: Eukaryota; Fungi; Basidiomycota; Agaricomycetes; Polyporales; Polyporaceae.